This 441-nucleotide ribosomal RNA is filed under the name uncultured bacterium. RNAcentral describes it as "partial 16S ribosomal RNA". It matches the Rfam family "Bacterial small subunit ribosomal RNA", at positions 338 to 795 of the family's 1533-position model. The record is from RNAcentral.
CCUACGGGAGGCAGCAGUGGGGGAUCUUGCACAAUGGGGGAAACCCUGAUGCAGCGACACCGCGUGGGUGAAGAAGCGCUUCGGCGUGUAAAGCCCUGUCAGAGGGGAAGAACAAGGACGGUACCCAAAGAAGCAGCACCUGCUAAAUACGUACCAGCAGCCGCGGUAAUACGUAUGGUGCACGCGUUAUCCGGAAGGACUGGGUGUAAAGGGGGCGUGGACGGUUGUACAAGACUGAUGUGAAAGCCCACGGAUCAACGGUGGGAGUGCAUUGGAAACUGUAGAACUAGAGUAUCGGAGAGGCAAGUGGAAUUCCUAGUGUAGCGGGGAAAUGCGUAGAUAGUAGGAGGAACACCAGGGGCGAAGGCGGCUUGCUGGACGAAAACUGACGUUGAGGCUCGAAAGCGUGGGGAGCAAACAGGAUUAGAUACCCUAGUAGUC